ACUGAGGUAAAACUAAGCCUAGGACUCUAUUUCAUUGGAAGACACAUAUUUCACCAUCUUUCCAUCCUCCUUACAUUGUUCCCAUAACAUACCUCAGGCAAUUUAUUGAUUUGAGCAUCGAGAUGUGCCUCAAAAUGAUAACUUUGACUCUCCUUAAUCAUGUUUUUUGGUUAUAGGUUACAGCUGUCCCCUCCCCAACCUUAUUUCCUUUCCUUAGUUAAGACAUUAGAAAAUACUAUCAACAAUUGAUGCCAUCUGUGGGAACGACAACCAUGUCACAACAAUCACAUUCUUUUGAGACAUUAGUUCCCACCAUUAAUGCUACCACUCGACGUGCAACUACUAUUGAGGUAACAUCUUUCUUAUUGACCUCUCCAUAAAUUCUUUCAUCGAAGUUACCUUAUUGGGGCUCUUAAUUUCCAAUCAUCAACUUUUAUUAAAUACUUGUGCUUUACAACCUUUAGGCCAUUAUCAAAGUUUAAUGGGAGCUUUAUCCUCGAACAUGACAUUGACACCAUCGUUGGUCCACAUGUAACACCUAGACCUUUGAACCAUAUUCCCCAACUACUCGUAACACAGAUCCACUCCUUACAACCCAUUAAUGCUAGUGUGUGGCCAAACAUUCCCCUUGUAACUUCCAUUAUGUCUGUUUCACUUCCAUGUCCAUAAAUCCCAACACACCCACCAAUCACUCAAACAGCAUCAGACUUUUAUGAAACCCUUAUGGCUCGAAUACAACUCUUAAACACCCAAAUGGCCACCUAGCAAAAAUUACUCCAACAAUACCAACAAGCAACUCAACAACCUCUCAAGAUUGACCCUACCCUAAAGAAAAUUCAACAUAUUCUUUCAGAAAACCACCACCACUUCAAAACAUAGCUUGACUUGAAGAAACUUAUCCCAAAUAGUCAUGACGAGACCCACCAUCAUGAUUGGGCAUAUACAAAUGCUGACCUGGAAAACAAACUAGCUGCACAAGUCAUAAUCCUAUGCAAAGAGUUAGCUGAGCCUAGAAAAGACAAAAAUAAAGACCUUUAGUGGUUGGAAGAUGACUACAACCCUUUUACCCCUACCAUUAGAUAAGUUGACAUGCCACAUUCUCUUAAACUACCAAAAGAUACUUAUAAUGAAACCAUCAACCUGGUGGACCAUUUAAACCAUUUUAGGAUCUUUAUGGACUUAUAUAAUACAUUUGAUGUAGUAAAGUGUAGGGUUUUUCCUACCAUUUUAUGUGGGAGAGCCAAGACAUGGUUCUAUUAUGUAGCUCUUACACCAUAGAUAGUUUUGAUGCUUUAAAUAGG
This 1301-nucleotide long non-coding RNA is filed under the name Durio zibethinus. RNAcentral's name for it is "long non-coding RNA (DZIB_LNC000331)". The record is from RNAcentral. Lineage: Eukaryota; Viridiplantae; Streptophyta; Magnoliopsida; Malvales; Malvaceae.